RNAcentral lists this ribosomal RNA (819 nucleotides) under Bifidobacterium pseudocatenulatum. RNAcentral's name for it is "bacterial SSU rRNA". It matches the Rfam family "Bacterial small subunit ribosomal RNA", at positions 163 to 992 of the family's 1533-position model. The record is from RNAcentral. Lineage: Bacteria; Bacillati; Actinomycetota; Actinomycetes; Bifidobacteriales; Bifidobacteriaceae.
GUAAUGCCGGAUGCUCCGACUCCUCGCAUGGGGUGUCGGGAAAGAUUUCAUCGGUAUGGGAUGGGGUCGCGUCCUAUCAGGUAGUCGGCGGGGUAACGGCCCACCGAGCCUACGACGGGUAGCCGGCCUGAGAGGGCGACCGGCCACAUUGGGACUGAGAUACGGCCCAGACUCCUACGGGAGGCAGCAGUGGGGAAUAUUGCACAAUGGGCGCAAGCCUGAUGCAGCGACGCCGCGUGCGGGAUGACGGCCUUCGGGUUGUAAACCGCUUUUGAUCGGGAGCAAGCCUUCGGGUGAGUGUACCUUUCGAAUAAGCACCGGCUAACUACGUGCCAGCAGCCGCGGUAAUACGUAGGGUGCAAGCGUUAUCCGGAAUUAUUGGGCGUAAAGGGCUCGUAGGCGGUUCGUCGCGUCCGGUGUGAAAGUCCAUCGCUUAACGGUGGAUCUGCGCCGGGUACGGGCGGGCUGGAGUGCGGUAGGGGAGACUGGAAUUCCCGGUGUAACGGUGGAAUGUGUAGAUAUCGGGAAGAACACCAAUGGCGAAGGCAGGUCUCUGGGCCGUUACUGACGCUGAGGAGCGAAAGCGUGGGGAGCGAACAGGAUUAGAUACCCUGGUAGUCCACGCCGUAAACGGUGGAUGCUGGAUGUGGGGCCCGUUCCACGGGUUCCGUGUCGGAGCUAACGCGUUAAGCAUCCCGCCUGGGGAGUACGGCCGCAAGGCUAAAACUCAAAGAAAUUGACGGGGGCCCGCACAAGCGGCGGAGCAUGCGGAUUAAUUCGAUGCAACGCGAAGAACCUUACCUGGGCUUGACAUGUUCC